GACGAACGCUGGCGGCGUGCCUAAUACAUGCAAGUAGAACGCUGAAGGAGGAGCUUGCUCUUCUGGAUGAGUUGCGAACGGGUGAGUAACGCGUAGGUAACCUGCCUGGUAGCGGGGGAUAACUAUUGGAAACGAUAGCUAAUACCGCAUAACAGUAGAUGUUGCAUGACAUUUGCUUAAAAGGUGCAAUUGCAUCACUACCAGAUGGACCUGCGUUGUAUUAGCUAGUUGGUGGGGUAACGGCUCACCAAGGCGACGAUACAUAGCCGACCUGAGAGGGUGAUCGGCCACACUGGGACUGAGACACGGCCCAGACUCCUACGGGAGGCAGCAGUAGGGAAUCUUCGGCAAUGGACGGAAGUCUGACCGAGCAACGCCGCGUGAGGGAAGAAGGUUUUCGGAUCGUAAAGCUCGGUUGUAAGAGAAGAACGAGUGUGAGAGUGGAAAGUUCACACUGUGACGGUAUCUGACCAGAAAGGGACGGCUAACUACGUG
This 495-nucleotide ribosomal RNA is filed under the name uncultured bacterium. Its description in RNAcentral is "partial 16S ribosomal RNA". It matches the Rfam family "Bacterial small subunit ribosomal RNA", at positions 28 to 507 of the family's 1533-position model. The record is from RNAcentral.